Molecule: ribosomal RNA, 459 nt
Filed under: uncultured Glomus
Lineage: Eukaryota; Fungi; Glomeromycota; Glomeromycetes; Glomerales; Glomeraceae
Description: SSU rRNA
Rfam family: Eukaryotic small subunit ribosomal RNA
Source: RNAcentral
CGCAGCCGCGGUAAUUCCAGCUCCAAUAGCGUAUAUUAAAGUUGCUGCAGUUAAAAAGCUCGUAGUUGAAUUUCGGGACCAUCAUGUUGGUCGUGCCUCGGUACGUACUGGCAUUGUUGGUUUCUCCCUUCUGACGAACCGUGAUGUCAUUUAUUUGGUGUCGUGGGAAAUCAGGACUGUUACUUUGAAAAAUUAGAGUGUUUAAAGCAGGCUCACGCUUGAAUACAUUAGCAUGGAAUAAUGAAAUAGGACGUUUGAUUCUAUUUUGUUGGUUUCUAGGAUCGACGUAAUGAUUAAUAGGGAUAGUUGGGGGCAUUAGUAUUCAAUUGUCAGAGGUGAAAUUCUUGGAUUUAUUGAAGACUAACUACUGCGAAAGCAUUUGCCAAGGAUGUUUUCAUUAAUACAAGAACGAAAGUUAGGGGAUCGAAGACGAUCAGAUACCGUCGUAGUCUUAACCAU